GCCUGGGUGGCUCAGUCGGUUGAGUGUCUGACUUCGGCUCAGGUCAUGAUCUCACGGUCUGUGGGUUUGAGCCCCGCGUCGGGCU
RNAcentral lists this transfer RNA (85 nucleotides) under Felis catus (domestic cat). It matches the Rfam family "tRNA". Rfam says of the family: Transfer RNA (tRNA) molecules are approximately 80 nucleotides in length. Their secondary structure includes four short double-helical elements and three loops (D, anti-codon, and T loops). The record is from Rfam by way of RNAcentral. Lineage: Eukaryota; Metazoa; Chordata; Mammalia; Carnivora; Felidae.